This 400-nucleotide ribosomal RNA is filed under the name phytoplankton environmental sample. Its description in RNAcentral is "partial small subunit ribosomal RNA". It matches the Rfam family "Eukaryotic small subunit ribosomal RNA", at positions 587 to 978 of the family's 1831-position model. The record is from RNAcentral.
AGCUCCAGUAGCGUAUAUUAAAGUUGUUGCAGUUAAAAAGCUCGUAGUUGGAUUUCUGACUUCGAACGCCUGGCCCGCCGUCGCUAGAUGGUGUGUGCCGGUUUUGCGUUCGUAUCAUCCUUUCAGAACACGGCUCUGCCUUUAAUCGAGGACUGGAGCUCGUUGAUCUGGAUCUUUUACUUUGAAGAAAUUGGAGUGUUUAAAGCAGGCUUACGCCAGAACAUAUUAGCAUGGAAUAAUGAUUUAGGACUUUUGUUCUAUUUUGUUGGUUUCUAGGACGAAAGUAAUGAUUGAUAGGGAUAGUUGGGGGUGCUCGUAUUCGGCGGCCAGAGGUGAAAUUCUUUGAUCCGCUGAAGACGAACUUAUGCGAAAGCAUUCACCAAGGAUGUCUUCUUUAAUC